CACCGCGGUUAUACGAGUGACACAAAUUAAUAUUUCACGGCGUUAAGGGUGAUUAGAGAAAUAUCAUCUUAUCUAAAAUAAAGUUAAAACCCCACUAAGCUGUCAUACGCUUUCAUGUUUGGAAAAACCGUCUACGAAAGUGACUUUAAAAAAAUAGAAUUCUUGACCUCACGACAGUUAAGACC
This 185-nucleotide ribosomal RNA is filed under the name Urobatis halleri (Haller's round ray). RNAcentral's name for it is "partial small subunit ribosomal RNA". The record is from RNAcentral. Lineage: Eukaryota; Metazoa; Chordata; Chondrichthyes; Myliobatiformes; Urotrygonidae.